RNAcentral lists this ribosomal RNA (759 nucleotides) under uncultured bacterium. Its description in RNAcentral is "bacterial SSU rRNA". It matches the Rfam family "Bacterial small subunit ribosomal RNA", at positions 28 to 776 of the family's 1533-position model. The record is from RNAcentral.
GAUGAACGCUAGCUACAGGCUUAACACAUGCAAGUCGAGGGGCAGCAUGGUCUUAGCUUGCUAAGGCCGAUGGCGACCGGCGCACGGGUGAGUAACACGUAUCCAACCUGCCGUCUACUCUUGGACAGCCUUCUGAAAGGAAGAUUAAUACAAGAUGGCAUCAUGAGUCCGCAUGUUCACAUGAUUAAAGGUAUUCCGGUAGACGAUGGGGAUGCGUUCCAUUAGAUAGUAGGCGGGGUAACGGCCCACCUAGUCUUCGACGGAUAGGGGUUCUGAGAGGAAGGUCCCCCACAUUGGAACUGAGACACGGUCCAAACUCCUACGGGAGGCAGCAGUGAGGAAUAUUGGUCAAUGGGCGAGAGCCUGAACCAGCCAAGUAGCGUGAAGGAUGACUGCCCUAUGGGUUGUAAACUUCUUUUAUAAAGGAAUAAAGUCGGGUAUGCAUACCCGUUUGCAUGUACUUUAUGAAUGAGGAUCGGCUAACUCCGUGCCAGCAGCCGCGGUAAUACGGAGGAUCCGAGCGUUAUCCGGAUUUAUUGGGUUUAAAGGGAGCGUAGAUGGAUGUUUAAGUCAGUUGUGAAAGUUUGCGGCUCAACCGUAAAAUUGCAGUUGAUACUGGAUAUCUUGAGUGCAGUUGAGGCAGGCGGAAUUCGUGGUGUAGCGGUGAAAUGCUUAGAUAUCACGAAGAACUCCGAUUGCGAAGGCAGCCUGCUAAGCUGCAACUGACAUUGAGGCUCGAAAGUGUGGGUAUCAAACAGG